Molecule: long non-coding RNA, 3390 nt
Organism: Ctenopharyngodon idella (grass carp)
Lineage: Eukaryota; Metazoa; Chordata; Actinopteri; Cypriniformes; Xenocyprididae
Exons: 3
Source: RefSeq, a predicted model, not a curated record
UGUUAAAACAUACAAUAAAACACAUUAGCGCUCUACCAAUGUCUAUGAAUUAUGAGCUGACAUGACAGAGAUUUAAGAAGAGUGUGUAAGUUAGUAUUGUGUUUACACUCUAUAAAUCCUCCUUUGUGUUGCUAUUUAAAGUCAGUCUGUCUCUCUAAGUGUGAAAGUGCUUACUGUGUCAACAGCAAUGGAAAAUACAAUAAAUAAAAUUGCCAACAAAAUUGAUGUAAAUGAAAUCUAGUUAAUUAUUCCAUAUGCAAGUUUUAAGUGAGUAAUUACUUGCAUUACUGUGCUAACUAGCUGAAGAGGCUAGUCGGCCGAUAAUAUAUAUAAUAUUUAUUUUAAGGUGAAGUAGUUACAUUGUAAUUAGAAAAAGCUCUGGGUAAUAUUAAUUAAUUAAUAAAAACAAUAAAACAAUGUAUGGUUAAAGUCCCCCUGUAAUCAAUUAUUUUAUCCCUUAAAACUCAUCUUUGAUCACCAAAAUGACAUAUUUUUAAAAACAAUUCAAGUGAAAAAAAUUCUUAAUGCAUUAUAAUAGCUUGAAUGUAACUCUACACCCUUGCCUCAUUUAAUAUACACGGAACAAUGAAUAUGCAAAUUCGCUCACGCCAGCUCGGAGAGUCUAGUGUUGCUAUAGUGAUGAGAAAUUUGUUGUUUGUGUUGUGGCUACAUGAAAUACAUGCACAUCCUUGAAUGAUCCUUCUCACUGUUGAGAAUCGGGCCGCCCAAGAACACGAUUAUGAAUAUUCUGAAUAAAGAUAUGCAUUAGACAUAGUUUAGCGUCAUUGUGAGCAAGAGAUAAACACAUAAACAUUAAAUCAGUACAAUUCACGAACGCCGUAAACAGACUGACAUGUCGAAAACAGCGAGUGCAGCUUCAGCAUCCGGUCUAGUGUUUGUGUGUGAGCGUGGAUCAGGAUUACAACCGCUCAAAAAAAAAACAUGAUUAAAUUAUAUGUAAAGAAUAAAAUGAAUUAUAAAAACAUGUAUGGCUAAAAAUCUCUGUUGUUUUCUGCUGGUAUCUGAGCACGUGGCAUGGACUCCUGACGCUCAGCUUACUGUCCUCAGGUCGAGGCAUUUGCUGGUACUGUGUGUGACAGAAGCAGAGAGACUGUAUGAAUGUUGUGUGUUUUGUAUGAUGACACACACUGUCCCAAACUGGUGCAGAGGUGGGCGAAGGGAACUCUCCAGCACGGGUCCUCUUUAUAAAGAGGGUCUCCAUUUAUCUGUUGAUGCAAUGAAAAUAAAAUCUCAUAUUAGACUCAGACGGUCUGUGUGGCAAGAAUAACUGGAGCUGACACAGGCAGGAACGCUUCAGCUGUAACACACACAAAAGCGUGAUUAUCAGGUCUAAGCCCAAAAGAUCCAGUACUACACACCUGUGGAAGGGAAAUCAGAUGCACCUUCUCACCGUGACAGAUAAAGACACAUUGAAAGAAAUGCCAGUAUGAGAAGAAGAAAAUGAAUUUAAAGGUGCUCUAGAUUGUAAAAUUGUAAAAAAAAAAAAAAAAAAAAAAGAAAAAAAAAAAAAGAGGUGUAUUCUCAUUCCUAGAUGUACAACAUUCUUUCAGGAGAGCUGUUAAUGUGUCUUUUAUGGGAAUAUACUGGGCAUGUCACUCCUUUCUGUUUUCAUCAAUCCCCCCAAAAAUGCAUUUUGGAUCCACAAAAGUUAUCAAAGUACUGUUUUCUCUGUUAUCCAUGCCAUCUAGGGUUUUCAAAACAUCUUCAAUUUCUGUCUCAGAGAGUUUAGUUUUUGUUUGAAGAGCUACUUUUAGUUGAUUCUUUGUGUACUGCUGGCACACUCCACUAACUUAUUAAUCUCUUCUAUGAUUAACUGUACUGUGGAGGAAGGGAUCAGGUGCUUCGCCUGCAACUUCAUGUAAAACAUGGACAGAUUUCUCAUAUAUAAGCUCUUCAUUUGUGCAGGGUCUAGUAUAUCCUCCUCACCCCAUCAUCAUCUGCCCCUUCAUCUGAGUGUCUUUCAGCAACAGAGAACUGAAGGAAGACCGUGAAGACAUGCGAAGCUGUAGAGUAUUUGUGCUUUCUAGAUAGGUGAGAUGUGAAAGAUGAUUUCACUGAAAAUGAGCGAUCACAGUUUUUGAAGGGGCAAUGCACCUGCUCUCUUUCUGAAAUGUGAAAUUUGAGGUUACCCAAAAGAUCUGAAAGAUCGAUCAACUGUCUCCGACAGUUGGUAACUUCACAUUGAAGGGUCCCUGCAGAGACUCGCACUGUGACGCAGAAGAUGACUGCCGAUGAUGACGGUAAACAUGACAAAUUUAAUGUGUUGUAAUUUCUGAAGCGUGACUUGCAACCUGCAUAGAGGUAAUGUGCCUUAUUUCUUUGUAGCCCUUGAUGUUGUACAUAACCUUUUAGGAUUUUCACAGAAACACUACAACUAUUACAAGUGUAAUCUGCAAACAUCUUUACAUGGUGCAGUGAUCACCUUUUGCCCCGAUCUUGACUUUGGCAGCUCACACAACUUAUCUGCAGUGUUGCGAUCACAAAGGAUCACUACAAAUAAGGAGAAGAUGAGUACAUUCAUCUUGCGAAAUAUCUGAGCUUUAUUUUACAUUCAUGCUUAAAAUGAUCUGGGCUUUAGCCAUGUAUGGAGACGAAGAGCUAAAAACAGCCACCAAAUCUGGAGCAGAACAGCCACCAACAGGAAUGAUCUGUUUUUGUAGGGAGCAACGAACACCUAGAAGCCGGUGCUCCCAAUCACGCCACAAUCAGCCCGUCACCUGCAAACAAUAUAGACACAACACACAAAACAAGGAACGGCCAACAGGGGCAUCACGGCAGGAAGAGACAAAAACAAGCAUGCAAGUGUAUGGGACAUGUUAAGAAUAAAAAAAAAAUCCAAAGUAAUAUAUUGAAAAAUGCAUUGUAUCUAAAGCACUGAAUGCUAUCCGUGUAACCAGUGAAUCCCUAUCAGUUUAUGUGCUCCUGUUUCUGUGUGUGCUUCAGUGACUGCAACUAUUUAAUUUAGAGCAGUGAUUAAAGUUAUUGAGUAAUGAGAAUUUGUUACAUGUGUAUAAUAACUGUAGUCCAGAGUGAAGUGACUGCGUGUGUGCAAUGAAAAAGUCUUAAUGUUGAAACGGAGACCUCUGGUGGGGAGUGGAAAGAAGCAGCAGUGGGCGGAAACGUGACAGAAAGUGAUGUGGGAGACAGUAAUUGGUCUCCACUUUUGGAGCAAGACAAUGAAUGGUCAUCUUCUUUUGAAAAGGAUGUGUUGCCUGACAGUGACGCCGCAAUCACAAGUCAUCUGGUAAAGCCUGAGACUCAGCAGCUUGAAUGCAAAUCAGCGUUUCCUGAUCAUAAGGGCUCCUGUGAACAUUUGACAGCAGCUUUAAAGGAUGAAAACCUCAUGAAGAAAAGGAGUCUGAAUCUUCA